This 298-nucleotide long non-coding RNA is filed under the name Sus scrofa (pig). RNAcentral's name for it is "lncRNA (ENSSSCG00030003248.1)". Lineage: Eukaryota; Metazoa; Chordata; Mammalia; Artiodactyla; Suidae. The record is from RNAcentral.
CCGCCCGCGUGUUCCCGGCGCACCCGGCUCUCGCUCUGGCUUCCCGCUUCUGCGAGGUCUGCACACCUCGUGGCCAAGACACCUUAGGAGCAGGACAGAGUUGAGAGGUUGGAAUGACUUGAUUCCAGAAAGAAAUUGGAAAUUGACAAUAGUAGGAGAGACUGUCAUUUUAACAUACUCUCACUUGCUUCAAAGAACACCUACCCGAAUCUUUGAAAGGUAUUUCUAACCACUAAUGUAAAUAUACAUUUAACGUUAUCAACUGGCAUCCCUUCAGGGAACUAAUUUUCUAAAGCUG